RNAcentral lists this ribosomal RNA (730 nucleotides) under uncultured bacterium. RNAcentral describes it as "bacterial SSU rRNA". It matches the Rfam family "Bacterial small subunit ribosomal RNA", at positions 771 to 1501 of the family's 1533-position model. The record is from RNAcentral.
AACAGGAUUAGAUACCCUGGUAGUCCACGCCGUAAACGAUGUCGACUUGGAGGUUGUGCCCUUGAGGCGUGGCUUCCGGAGCUAACGCGUUAAGUCGACCGCCUGGGGAGUACGGCCGCAAGGUCAAAACUCAAAUGAAUUGACGGGGGCCCGCACAAGCGGUGGAGCAUGUGGUUUAAUUCGAUGCAACGCGAAGAACCUUACCUACUCUUGGCAUCCAGAGAACUUUCCAGAGAUGGAUUGGUGCCUUCGGGAACUCUGAGACAGGUGCUGCAUGGCUGUCGUCAGCUCGUGUUGUGAAAUGUUGGGUUAAGUCCCGCAACGAGCGCAACCCUUAUCCUUUGUUGCCAGCGAUUCGGUCGGGAACUCAAAGGAGACUGCCAGUGAUAAACUGGAGGAGGGUGGGGAUGACGUCAAGUCAUCAUGGCCCUUACGAGUAGGGCUACACACGUGCUACAAUGGCAUAUACAAAGAGAAGCGACCUCGCGAGAGCAAGCGGACCUCAUAAAGUAUGUCGUAGUCCGGAUUGGAGUCUGCAACUCGACUCCAUGAAGUCGGAAUCGCUAGUAAUCGUGGAUCAGAAUGCCACGGUGAAUACGUUCCCGGGCCUUGUACACACCGCCCGUCACACCAUGGGAGUGGGUUGCAAAAGAAGUAGGUAGCUUAACCUUCGGGAGGGCGCUUACCACUUUGUGAUUCAUGACUGGGGUGAAGUCGUAACAAGGUAACC